UGAAUUUCUGUGAUUAUUACAUUGCUUUGUAUUAUUGCUUAUCUUCUCUCCAUCAAGUAUUUUCAAGGAAUUUGACAAGGGAAGAGGACCAGUGCUGACCAAGUGAAGAAAAAGAAGAGUCUAUUGCCAAGUUUUGUACAGCAGCCAAUAUCUGAUUAAGGAGUGGGCAGGUGGUUAUGCUGGCAUUGAUCCUGUUUCCAAAAGCAGAUCAACAUGAUUCCUCAAGACUCCAAAGAGAUCAACUAUGGGACCUGAAAAUAAAGGCAGACUGCCAUCAAUUUCAUGUUUCUUUGACAGCAGACAAAUAUGCUUCAACAAUAGUGCAGAGAGUAUAAUUUAAGGUUUGGACUGCAAGUGAUGGACACACUAAAUAACUCAACUCAAAGAAUUCAAUGGAUAGUGCUGAGUACAUUAUUAUAUAUCUACAAAGUGAU
Saccostrea cuccullata (small rock oyster) is the source of this 434-nucleotide long non-coding RNA. RefSeq lists it as uncharacterized. The transcript is spliced from 3 exons. The record is from RefSeq and is a predicted model, not a curated record. Lineage: Eukaryota; Metazoa; Mollusca; Bivalvia; Ostreida; Ostreidae.